Molecule: transfer RNA, 64 nt
Filed under: Shinkaia crosnieri
Lineage: Eukaryota; Metazoa; Arthropoda; Malacostraca; Decapoda; Munidopsidae
Description: tRNA-His
Source: RNAcentral
AUCUGAAUAGUUUAAUGAAAAUUCUGGUUUGUGGGACCAGAGAUAUAAAAUAUUGUUUUAGAUC